Molecule: small RNA, 28 nt
Filed under: Bombyx mori (domestic silkworm)
Lineage: Eukaryota; Metazoa; Arthropoda; Insecta; Lepidoptera; Bombycidae
Description: ovarian small RNA-34744
Source: RNAcentral
UGGCACUGUGGAUUUUCGGGUCCGCAUG